Molecule: long non-coding RNA, 1094 nt
Organism: Hydra vulgaris (swiftwater hydra)
Lineage: Eukaryota; Metazoa; Cnidaria; Hydrozoa; Anthoathecata; Hydridae
Source: RefSeq, a predicted model, not a curated record
AGCGAGUCAUUAACAUCAAAGCGAGUCAGUAACAUCAAAGCGAGUCAUUAACAUCAAAGCGAGUCAUUAAGAUCAUACUGAAUCUUGUAAAACUUUGUUUACAUUUUUGAGCACAACGCGAAAUAAUACCAGAGAAUAAUAUGAAGUGAAAAAUUUUUUUAGUUUUUAUCCAAAGUUUGGUUUUUAUCCAAAAUAAGUUUGACCUACUUUUACAAAAAGUUACACUUUUACACUCUUAACAAAAUGUCGUUUGUUCUAAAAUUAAAAUUGUUACGAACGUGUCUUAAGCAGUUAAAAAUCAUUUUAUCAUCAAUCAAGAAUUGCUCGUUCAUACGAUCAUAAUUGGUACUACAAAUGAGAUCAGCCAAUUUUAUCACAUUUCUAUAGUCGUGCAAUGAAUAGAUUUGAAUUAUAAAAUUGCAACAUAAAUGAACAUUUUGAUAUCACAGUUACAACUGCAGGAUUAACAAAAAAGGAUACAGAUUGAUGCCGCAGUCCGAACUGGUUUCCCAUUACAGCAAGUAUUGGCAUUAAAGUUGAAGUUUGUCUAACGAGGUGGUCUUCUUGACUAGAUUUAUUUAGUGCUCUAAAAAUAGCAUGGACAAAGUCAACUUCUACCUUAGCUUUCCACGAUUACCAUAAUUGAAUGCCCUUAUAAGUGGUGGGGUGCUUACAAAUUACACCUGCUCUGAUAAAGACAAUAACAAGUGGGAUUUGUCAAAGUUCUCAAUUAAUGUAUUGCUUGCACUUCCUUUAUUUGUUAAAAGUGAAUGUCUGUUCAUCACAACAAGAAACAUGUUUAAAGCCAAAAGAAACAGGCUGUUGUCUGAGUAUGGAGAACAAAAUCGCGUUUUUAAAUUAUAAUUUGCCUAAUUUCUUACAAUAGAUAAUUAAUUUAAACGCAAAGAACUUAGUUGUAGUAUAGCUACACUCUAUAAUCCCAUGACGUUGUGUAAUUAAAAAAAAAACUCUAUGAUUUGUGGUGGUAAUGAAAUACUUUGUGCGUUAAAAUACAUAUAACUGCAGUACAUAUAUUUUGCGAUAUGCAGUACAUGUAAUUAUUUAAGUAAAUGUUAAAAAAUAUUUUUGAAUAA